RNAcentral lists this small nuclear RNA (164 nucleotides) under Carlito syrichta (Philippine tarsier). Its description in RNAcentral is "U1 spliceosomal RNA (ENSTSYG00000028992.1)". It matches the Rfam family "U1 spliceosomal RNA". From Rfam's summary of the family: U1 is a small nuclear RNA (snRNA) component of the spliceosome (involved in pre-mRNA splicing). Its 5' end forms complementary base pairs with the 5' splice junction, thus defining the 5' donor site of an intron. There are significant differences in sequence and secondary structure between metazoan and yeast U1 snRNAs, the latter being much longer (568 nucleotides as compared to 164 nucleotides in human). Lineage: Eukaryota; Metazoa; Chordata; Mammalia; Primates; Tarsiidae. The record is from Rfam by way of RNAcentral.
AUACUUACCUGGCUGGGAAGUUACCAUGAUCACGAAGGUGGUUUUCCCAGGGCAAGGCUUAUCCGUUGCACUCUGGAUGUGCUGACCCCUACGAUUUCCCCAAAUAUGGGAAACUCAACUGCAUAAUUUGUGGUAGUGGGGGACUGCAUUCGUGCUCUCCCCUG